This 895-nucleotide long non-coding RNA is filed under the name Pan troglodytes (chimpanzee). RNAcentral describes it as "lincRNA". The record is from RNAcentral. Lineage: Eukaryota; Metazoa; Chordata; Mammalia; Primates; Hominidae.
GAUUGUUGAGAUCUGGCGACUUGUUUAAAUUUCAUCAGCCUCACUUCUAUGAACUCUCAGAGCUGAUUACCAACUCCUACCACUGUUAACCCUCAUCCAGGAAAAAGCUUAUGUCUUUAACAUUCUGAGUGGGCUUCAGCAUCCUUGCAUAUGUUCAAUUCUUAAAAACCUGUUGAAAUAAAAGAUCAGGAGACAUAGGAAGGAUGCCAGAAGAGAGCGUGGCCUCAUGUGUACCAGCUCUCUGCUCUCCUUUGCCUUGGGACGUUCCAUCCCUGGAAGUUUCCCUGCCCACAUCUUUGUAGAGAGUCCAUUCUCCAAGCUUCAGUGUGUCAUCUGUGAGGACUGUGACCAACCUGGUACAUCGCCUCAGGGCAUUCAUUUCAGGCUCCUUCUAAAUGGUCAAGACAAAACACCAACAUUUUUGUAAUGGCCUGCAAGGCCUUCCGAGAUCUGCCUCCUGCAACUCAGCUUCUCCUGUGCUCUCCUUCUGGACUCACUCUGCCUCAGCAACACUGGUCCCUGUUGCCCCACCAAUAUACCAGGUAAACCUCAGGUUCUCCUCCUGCCUUUUGCUAAGUAUAUGUCUUGAUGACAAGCCUUCUGCUGAUGAGCUGUGUUUCUGGACCGAUCAUGGUAGAAGUCAAUUAACGUGUCCCUCACUUGGGGUUUCUCAAGGACAUGCAAGGUCCUCAUGAUUGUCUCAAAACUAUAUAGAAUUGAGAAGCUGCACUGAUGAGGAAACUGAAACAGAAAAUCCAGAGUAAAUUCCACCAGGCCACACAGCAAGGUCUGAUAGAGCCAGGAGAGACUUUAUGAAAUCCAGACUCUCACACUAAUGCUCUAUCAGCUAGACCUCCAUGUGAGUCUCCCCAAUGUAGGUAGGAAGUGCUUUCCC